AGAUUGAACGCUGGCGGCAUGCCUAACACAUGCAAGUCGAACGGGAGUAGCAAUACUCUAGUGGCGGACGGGUGAGGAAUACGUAGGAAUUUGCCCUUAAGUGGGGGAUAACCCGGGGAAACCCGGAUUAAUACCGCAUGACCUCGAAAGAGCAAAGUGGGGGAUCGCAAGACCUCACGCUUUUGGAGAAGCCUACGUCGGAUUAGCUAGUUGGUGAGGUAAUGGCUCACCAAGGCGACGAUCCGUAACUGGUCUGAGAGGAUGAUCAGUCACACCGGAACUGAGACACGGUCCGGACUCCUACGGGAGCAGCAGUGGGAAUAUGGACAAGUGGGCGCAAGCCUGAUCCGAGCAAGUGACCGCGUGUGUGAAGAAGGCCUUGGUUGUAAGUCGAC
This 395-nucleotide ribosomal RNA is filed under the name uncultured soil bacterium. RNAcentral's name for it is "bacterial SSU rRNA". It matches the Rfam family "Bacterial small subunit ribosomal RNA", at positions 26 to 434 of the family's 1533-position model. The record is from RNAcentral.